GACGAACGCUGGCGGCGUGCCUAAUACAUGCAAGUCGAGCGAAGUUUUUCUGGUGCUUGCACUAGAAAAACUUAGCGGCGAACGGGUGAGUAACACGUAAAGAACCUGCCCCAUAGACUGGGACAACUAUUGGAAACGAUAGCUAAUACCGGAUAACAGUAUUUCUCGCAUGAGAGAUAUUUAAAAGUUGGUUAUGCUAACACUAUGAGAUGGCUUUGCGGUGCAUUAGCUAGUUGGUGGGGUAAAGGCCCACCAAGGCGACGAUGCAUAGCCGACCUGAGAGGGUGAUCGGCCACACUGGGACUGAGACACGGCCCAGACUCCUACGGGAGGCAGCAGUAGGGAAUCUUCCGCAAUGGGCAAAAGCCUGACGGAGCAACGCCGCGUGAGUGAAGAAGGAUUUCGGUUCGUAAAGCUCUGUUGUUAGGGAAGAAUGGAUAUGUAGUAACUAUACAUGUAAGAGACGGUACCUAACCAGAAAGCCACGGCUAACUACGUG
RNAcentral lists this ribosomal RNA (499 nucleotides) under uncultured bacterium. RNAcentral describes it as "partial 16S ribosomal RNA". It matches the Rfam family "Bacterial small subunit ribosomal RNA", at positions 28 to 507 of the family's 1533-position model. The record is from RNAcentral.